RNAcentral lists this ribosomal RNA (166 nucleotides) under uncultured Sphingosinicella sp. RNAcentral describes it as "partial 16S ribosomal RNA". It matches the Rfam family "Bacterial small subunit ribosomal RNA", at positions 338 to 521 of the family's 1533-position model. Lineage: Bacteria; Pseudomonadati; Pseudomonadota; Alphaproteobacteria; Sphingomonadales; Sphingosinicellaceae. The record is from RNAcentral.
CCUACGGGAGGCAGCAGUGGGGAAUUUUGGACAAUGGGCGCAAGCCUGAUCCAGCCAUUCCGCGUGAGUGAAGAAGGCCUUCGGGUUGUAAAGCUCUUUUACCCGGGAUGAUAAUGACAGUACCGGGAGAAUAAGCUCCGGCUAACUCCGUGCCAGCAGCCGCGGU